GGUUUGAUCUUGGCUCAGAUUGAACGCUGGCGGCAGGCCUAACACAUGCAAGUCGGGCGGUAGAGAGAAGCUUGCUUCUCUUGAGAGCGGCGGACGGGUGAGUAAUGCCUAGGAAUCUGCCUGGUAGUGGGGGAUAACGCUCGGAAACGGACGCUAAUACCGCAUACGUCCUACGGGAGAAAGCAGGGGACCUUCGGGCCUUGCGCUAUCAGAUGAGCCUAGGUCGGAUUAGCUAGUUGGCGAGGUAAUGGCUCACCAAGGCGACGAUCCGUAACUGGUCUGAGAGGAUGAUCAGUCACACUGGAACUGAGACACGGUCCAGACUCCUACGGGAGGCAGCAGUGGGGAAUAUUGGACAAUGGGCGAAGGCCUGAUCCAGCCAUGCCGCGUGUGUGAAGAAGGUCUUCGGAUUGUAAAGCACUUUAAGUUGGGAGGAAGGGCAGUAAUUAAUACUUUGCUGUUUUGACGUUACCGACAGAAUAAGCACCGGCUAACUCUGUGCCAGCAGCCG
RNAcentral lists this ribosomal RNA (511 nucleotides) under uncultured bacterium. RNAcentral describes it as "bacterial SSU rRNA". It matches the Rfam family "Bacterial small subunit ribosomal RNA", at positions 10 to 517 of the family's 1533-position model. The record is from RNAcentral.